AUUGAACGCUGGCGGCAGGCCUAACACAUGCAAGUCGAACGGUAGCACAGAGAGCUUGCUCUCGGGUGACGAGUGGCGGACGGGUGAGUAACGUCUGGGAAACUGCCCGAUGGAGGGGGAUAACUACUGGAAACGGUAGCUAAUACCGCAUAACGUCGCAAGACCAAAGUGGGGGACCUUCGGGCCUCACACCACCGGAUGUGCCCAGAUGGGAUUAGCUAGUAGGUGGGGUAAUGGCUCACCUAGGCGACGAUCCCUAGCUGGUCUGAGAGGAUGACCAGCCACACUGGAACUGAGACACGGUCCAGACUCCUACGGGAGGCAGCAGUGGGGAAUAUUGCACAAUGGGCGCAAGCCUGAUGCAGCUAUGCCGCGUGUAUGAAGAAGGCCUUCGGGUUGUAAAGUACUUUCAGCGGGGAGGAAGGCGGUGAAGUUAAUAGCUUCACCGAUUGACGUUACCCGCAGAAGAAGCACCGGCUAACUCCGUGCCAGCCGCCGCAGUAA
RNAcentral lists this ribosomal RNA (504 nucleotides) under uncultured bacterium. RNAcentral's name for it is "partial 16S ribosomal RNA". It matches the Rfam family "Bacterial small subunit ribosomal RNA", at positions 30 to 523 of the family's 1533-position model. The record is from RNAcentral.